Molecule: non-coding RNA, 69 nt
Organism: Rattus norvegicus (Norway rat)
Lineage: Eukaryota; Metazoa; Chordata; Mammalia; Rodentia; Muridae
Source: Rfam
GGGGAUUUAGCUCAGUGGUAGAGCGCUUGCCUAGCAAGCACAAAGCCCUGGGUUCGGUCCCCAGCUCCA